RNAcentral lists this ribosomal RNA (358 nucleotides) under Antrops sp. JK09. Its description in RNAcentral is "partial 12S ribosomal RNA". The record is from RNAcentral. Lineage: Eukaryota; Metazoa; Arthropoda; Insecta; Diptera; Sphaeroceridae.
AUUUAAAAUGUAUUUAUUAAUAUUAAAGUAGUAUUAGUUAUGUUCUUGAAACUUAAAAAAUUUGGCGGUAUUUUAGUCUAUUCAGAGGAACCUGUUCUAUAAUCGAUAAUCCACGAUGGACCUUACUUAAAUUUGUUAAUCAGUUUAUAUACCGUCGUUAUUAGAAUAUUUUAUAAGAAUAAUAAUUUUCAUAAAAUUUAAUUAAAAUAUAUAUCAGAUCAAGGUGUAGCUUAUGUUUAAGAAGAAAUGGGUUACAAUAAAAUUAUUUAUACGGAUAUAAAUAUGAAAAAUUUAUUGAAGGUGGAUUUGAUAGUAAAAUUAUAAAGAUAAAUAGUUUGAUUUUAGCUCUAAAAUAUGU